RNAcentral lists this ribosomal RNA (486 nucleotides) under uncultured bacterium. RNAcentral's name for it is "partial 16S ribosomal RNA". It matches the Rfam family "Bacterial small subunit ribosomal RNA", at positions 30 to 507 of the family's 1533-position model. The record is from RNAcentral.
AUUGAACGCUGGCGGCAUGCCUUACACAUGCAAGUCGAACGGCAGCACGGGUGCUUGCUCCUGGUGGCGAGUGGCGAACGGGUGAGUAAUACAUCGGAACAUGUCCUUUAGUGGGGGAUAGCCCGGCGAAAGCCGGAUUAAUACCGCAUACGAUCUACGGACGAAAGCGGGGGACCUUCGGGCCUCGCGCUAUAGGGUUGGCCGACGGCUGAUUAGCUAGUUGGUGGGGUAAAGGCCUACCAAGGCGACGAUCAGUAGCUGGUCUGAGAGGACGACCAGCCACACUGGGACUGAGACACGGCCCAGACUCCUACGGGAGGCAGCAGUGGGGAAUUUUGGACAAUGGGCGAAAGCCUGAUCCAGCAAUGCCGCGUGUGUGAAGAAGGCCUUCGGGUUGUAAAGCACUUUUGUCCGGAAAGAAAUCCUUGGCCCUAAUACGGUCGGGGAAUGACGGUACCGGAAGAAUAAGCACCGGCUAACUACGUG